UCCAACCUGAAAUACAAAUGGAGAGUGAAACGGCGAGUUGCAACGUCGGUUUGAAAAGUAUUCCCGAGGUAAUUAAUUACUUACUUGCUUAUGUAAUUACUUAUGUAUUAAACAAACUUAUAUAUUAACCGUACUUAUGUUUUAACUAUUGAUUUAGGGUGUCACUACAUGUGUCCUAUACUUGUCCUCGCCUACUCAACGGAAGGUGGGAAAAGGAAUAUUGUACAAUACUUCAGGAGAAGUAUUGCACAAUAUUCCGAUUCCCGCGGGCCAUGUCAAAGUAUCACCUACUGUUGCUUUCGAACCAACUGCACAG
Molecule: long non-coding RNA, 316 nt
Filed under: Cicer arietinum (chickpea)
Lineage: Eukaryota; Viridiplantae; Streptophyta; Magnoliopsida; Fabales; Fabaceae
Description: long non-coding RNA (CARI_LNC002836)
Source: RNAcentral